GAUGAACGCUGGCGGCGUGCCUAAUACAUGCAAGUCGAGCGAACGGACGAGCAUCUUUCUUCUCGGAUGUUAGCGGCGGACGGGUGAGUAACACGUGGAUAACCUACCUAUAAGACUGGGAUAACUUAGGGAACCCGUAGCUAAUAACGGAUACUAUUUUGAACCGCAUGGUUCCAAAGUGAAAGACGGUCUUGCUGUCACUUAUAGAUGGAUCCGCGCUGCAUUAGCUAGUUGGUAAGGUAACGGCAUACCAAGGCAACGAUGCAUAGCCGACCUGAGAGGGUGAUCGGCCACACUGGAACUGAGCCACGGUCCAGACUCCUACGGGAGGCAGCAGUAGGGAAUCUUCCGCAAUGGGCGAAAGCCUGACGGAGCACCGCCGAGUGAGGGAUGGAGGUCUUCGGAUAGGAAAACUCUGCUAUUAGUGAAGAACAUAUGUGUAAGUAACUGUGCACAUCUUGACGGUACCUAAUCAGAAAGCCACGGCUAACUACGUG
This 497-nucleotide ribosomal RNA is filed under the name uncultured bacterium. RNAcentral's name for it is "partial 16S ribosomal RNA". It matches the Rfam family "Bacterial small subunit ribosomal RNA", at positions 28 to 507 of the family's 1533-position model. The record is from RNAcentral.